This is a non-coding RNA of Drosophila virilis, 336 nucleotides long. The record is from RefSeq and is a predicted model, not a curated record. Lineage: Eukaryota; Metazoa; Arthropoda; Insecta; Diptera; Drosophilidae.
GCUAUAUGCGAAUGCGAACAAUUUUUAUUUGACGGCGGAGGGGGAGAAAUUUGAUUAGUUCAAUUUGCAACAGAUAUAACAUAAUAUGGCAUGGAUAACCUCAAGGGGCCAUCUAGAAUUUAAGGUAGUUUUAUAUCGGCAAGCGAGCACACAUUGAUCUAUAUGUAUAUAUAAUAUAUAACUUAAGGACUAAUUUAGCAAUUGGCAAAUAAAUACUGGUUAGCGGCCAACAGAGAAGUAUGGAGGUUAGCACAAAACUAUAUAGUAUUAUAUACAACUUACUUGUCAUCCGUAUCCAAAUUGCUGUUGCCAUCCAGGCUGUCGCCCAGGGUCUCA